AGUCGAGGGGCAUCGGGAGGGAAGCUUGCUUUCCUUGCCGGCGACCGGCGCACGGGUGAGUAACACGUAUGCAACCUGCCCUCUUCAGGGGGACAACCUUCCGAAAGGGAGGCUAAUCCCGCGUAUAUCGGUUUCGGGCAUCCGAGAUCGAGGAAAGAUUCAUCGGAAGAGGAUGGGCAUGCGGCGCAUUAGCUUGACGGCGGGGUAACGGCCCACCGUGGCGACGAUGCGUAGGGGUUCUGAGAGGAAGGUCCCCCACACUGGUACUGAGACACGGACCAGACUCCUACGGGAGGCAGCAGUGAGGAAUAUUGGUCAAUGGGAGAGAUCCUGAACCAGCCAAGCCGCGUGAGGGAAGACGGCCCUAUGGGUUGUAAACCUCUUUUGUCGGAGAACAAAACCCGGGACGUGUCCCGGACUGCGUGUAUCCGAAGAAAAAGCAUCGGCUAACUCCGUGCCAGCAGCCGCGGUAAUACGGAGGAUGCGAGCGUUAUCCGGAUUUAUUGGGUUUAAAGGGUGCGUAGGCGGUCCGUUAAGUCAGCGGUAAAAUUGCGGGGCUCAACCCCGUCGAGCCGUUGAAACUGGCAGACUUGAGUUGGCGAGAAGUACGCGGAAUGCGCGGUGUAGCGGUGAAAUGCAUAGAUAUCGCGCAGAACUCCGAUUGCGAAGGCAGCGUACCGGCGCCAGACUGACGCUGAGGCACGAAAGCGUGGGGAUCGAACAGGAUUAGAUACCCUGGUAGUCCACGCAGUAAACGAUGAAUGCUGGUUGUCCGGGUCGAAUGAGAUCUGGGCGGCGAAGCGAAAGCGAU
Molecule: ribosomal RNA, 811 nt
Filed under: uncultured bacterium
Lineage: Bacteria
Description: bacterial SSU rRNA
Rfam family: Bacterial small subunit ribosomal RNA
Source: RNAcentral